CAAUAGCGUAUAUUAAAGUUGUUGCGGUUAAAAAGCUCGUAGUUGGAUUUCGGUUGAGAACGGCCGGUCCGCCGUUUGGUGUGCACUGGCUGGUUUCAACUUCCUGUAGAGGACGCGCUCUGGCUUCACGGCUGGACGCGGAGUCUACGUGGUUACUUUGAAAAAAUUAGAGUGUUCAAAGCGGGCUUACGCUUGAAUAUUUCAGCAUGGAAUAACACUAUAGGACUCCUGUCCUAUUUCGUUGGUCUCGGGACGGGAGUAAUGAUUAAGAGGAACAGUUGGGGGCAUUCGUAUUUCAUUGUCAGAGGUGAAAUUCUUGGAUUUAUGAAAGACGAACUUCUGCGAAAGCAUUUGCCAAGGAUGUUUUCAUUAA
This 373-nucleotide ribosomal RNA is filed under the name uncultured eukaryote. RNAcentral describes it as "partial 18S ribosomal RNA". It matches the Rfam family "Eukaryotic small subunit ribosomal RNA", at positions 592 to 976 of the family's 1831-position model. The record is from RNAcentral.